RNAcentral lists this ribosomal RNA (250 nucleotides) under uncultured bacterium. RNAcentral's name for it is "partial 16S ribosomal RNA". It matches the Rfam family "Bacterial small subunit ribosomal RNA", at positions 524 to 773 of the family's 1533-position model. The record is from RNAcentral.
UACGGAGGAUCCGAGCGUUAUCCGGAUUUAUUGGGUUUAAAGGGUGCGUAGGCGGCGCUUUAAGUCAGUGGUGAAAUACGGCAGCUCAACUGUCGCAGUGCCCUUGAUACUGAAGUGCUUGAAUACUGUUGAAGAUGGCGGAAUGAGACAAGUAGCGGUGAAAUGCAUAGAUAUGUCUCAGAACACCGAUUGCGAAGGCAGCUGUCUAAGCAGCGAUUGACGCUGAUGCACGAAAGCGUGGGGAUCGAAC